Molecule: ribosomal RNA, 190 nt
Filed under: uncultured bacterium
Lineage: Bacteria
Description: partial 16S ribosomal RNA
Rfam family: Bacterial small subunit ribosomal RNA
Source: RNAcentral
UCUGCAACCCGACUCCAUGAAGCUGGAUUCGCUAGUAAUCGCGCAUCAGCCACGGCGCGGUGAAUACGUUCCCGGGCCUUGUACACACCGCCCGUCAAGCCAUGGAAGCCGGGGGGUGCCUGAAGUGCGCUGCCGCGAGGAGCGCCCUAGGGUAAAACCGGUGACUGGGGCUAAGUCGUAACAAGGUAUC